UACGUAGGGUGCGAGCGUUAAUCGGAAUUACUGGGCGUAAAGCGUGCGCAGGCGGUUUUCCAAGACAGAUGUGAAAUCCCCGGGCUCAACCUGGGAAUGGCAUUUGUGACUGGAAGGCUAGAGUGUGUCAGAGGGGGGGUAGAAUUCCACGUGUAGCAGUGAAAUGCGUAGAGAUGUGGAGGAAUACCGAUGGCGAAGGCAGCCCCCUGGGAUAACACUGACGCUCAUGCACGAAAGCGUGGGGAGCAAACAGG
Molecule: ribosomal RNA, 254 nt
Filed under: uncultured bacterium
Lineage: Bacteria
Description: partial 16S ribosomal RNA
Rfam family: Bacterial small subunit ribosomal RNA
Source: RNAcentral